RNAcentral lists this ribosomal RNA (497 nucleotides) under uncultured bacterium. RNAcentral describes it as "partial 16S ribosomal RNA". It matches the Rfam family "Bacterial small subunit ribosomal RNA", at positions 28 to 507 of the family's 1533-position model. The record is from RNAcentral.
GAUGAACGCUGGCGGCGUGCCUAAUACAUGCAAGUCGAGCGAACAGAUGAGGAGCUUGCUCCUCUGACGUUAGCGGCGGACGGGUGAGUAACACGUGGAUAACCUACCUAUAAGACUGGGAUAACUUCGGGAAACCGGAGCUAAUACCGGAUAAUAUAUUGAACCGCAUGGUUCAAUAGUGAAAGACGGUUUUGCUGUCACUUAUAGAUGGAUCCGCGCCGCAUUAGCUAGUUGGUAAGGUCACGGCUUACCAAGGCAACGAUGCGUAGCCGACCUGAGAGGGUGAUCGGCCACACUGGAACUGAGACACGGUCCAGACUCCUACGGGAGGCAGCAGUAGGGAAUCUGCCGCAAUGGGCGAAAGCCUGACGGAGCAACGCCGCGUGAGUGAUGAAGGUCUUCGGAUCGUAAAACUCUGUUAUUAGGGAAGAACAAAUGUGUAAGUAACUAUGCACGUCUUGACGGUACCUAAUCAGAAAGCCACGGCUAACUACGUG